AAUUUGUGUUGAGGGCAGCGGUGAAUGAAAUCUUUAUACCUUUCGCAUGCCUCAUAGAGUGAAUUGAAAUCAUUUUGUUUGAAUUUACCAAUAUCGCUCCUGAGUU
Juglans microcarpa x Juglans regia is the source of this 106-nucleotide small nucleolar RNA. The record is from RefSeq and is a predicted model, not a curated record. NCBI's taxonomy places the organism in Eukaryota, Viridiplantae, Streptophyta, Magnoliopsida, Fagales, Juglandaceae.